Molecule: ribosomal RNA, 460 nt
Filed under: uncultured bacterium
Lineage: Bacteria
Description: partial 16S ribosomal RNA
Rfam family: Bacterial small subunit ribosomal RNA
Source: RNAcentral
CCUACGGGUGGCAGCAGUGAGGAAUAUUGGUCAAUGGACGAGAGUCUGAACCAGCCAAGUAGCGUGAAGGAUGACUGCCCUCUGGGUUGUAAACUUCUUUUAUAUGGGAGUAAAACAGAGUAUGCAUACCCUCUUGUCUGUACCAUAUUAAUUAGGAUCGGCUAACUCAGUGCCAGCAGCCGCGGUACUACGGAGGAUUCAAGCGUUAUCCGGAUUUGUUGGGUUUAAAGGGUGCGUAGGCGGUUCGAUAAGUCAGAGGUGAAAUCCCUGGGCUCAACUCCGGCACUGCCUCUGAUACUGUAGGGCUAGAGUUUAGGUGCGGUAGGCGGAAUGUAUGGUGGAGCGGUGAAAUGCAUAGAGAUCAGACAGAACACCGAUUGCGAAGGCAGCUUACCAAACUAUGACUGACGUUGAGGCACGAAAGCGUGGGGAGCAAACAGGAUUAGAUACCCUAGUAGUC